Molecule: ribosomal RNA, 495 nt
Filed under: uncultured bacterium
Lineage: Bacteria
Description: partial 16S ribosomal RNA
Rfam family: Bacterial small subunit ribosomal RNA
Source: RNAcentral
GACGAACGCUGGCGGCGUGCCUAAUACAUGCAAGUAGAACGCUGAAGGAGGAGCUUGCUUCUCUGGAUGAGUUGCGAACGGGUGAGUAACGCGUAGGUAACCUGCCUGGUAGCGGGGGAUAACUAUUGGAAACGAUAGCUAAUACCGCAUAAGAGUAGAUGUCGCAUGACAUUUGCUUAAAAGGUGCAAUUGCAUCACUACCAGAUGGACCUGCGUUGUAUUAGCUAGUUGGUGAGGUAACGGCUCACCAAGGCAACGAUACAUAGCCGACCUGAGAGGGGGGUCGGCCACACUGGGACUGAGACACGGCCCAGACUCCUACGGGAGGCAGCAGUAGGGGAUCUUCGGCAAUGGACGGAAGUCUGAACGGGCAACGCCGCGUGAGUGAAGAAGGGUUUCGGAUCGUAAAGCUCUGUUGUAAGGGAAGAACGAGUGUGAGAGUGGAAAGUUCACACUGUGACGGUAUCUUACCAGAAAGGGACGGCUAACUACGUG